GCUGGUCAAAUUUUGUGGGAUUUGGAUGAUGUUUAAGGGCGAACAGCAUCUUUGACGGGUACGUAAUCGUGUUACUGCUUGUUUAUAAUCUACCUAAAGUAACAAAUUUACUGCAUUUUGCGAUUUGGUGACCAAAACAGGCAUUGUUUACAUAGGACAUUUUUAGGUUAAAUUUUCAUUGUAAGUAGGAUAUAUUGUAGUACGACCAUUUCAUUUGAUACAUCAAUUCAGUCAAGUUUUCUACGAGUUUUGAAUUUGAAUUAAUUGCUUCAUAUCUAUAUUACCCGUUCGCUUUGGCCAUUGAUAACUGUAUGACAUCACUUUCACAUCAAGUUGUCUGUCUACAAAAACAAUAAUUUGUUGCAAUAUUUUUUUAUGAUUAUGAUUUAGCUCUAGAUUAUAAUGUGAGUGCAUGUGAAAUGAUAUCUUGUUGGUAAAUAUUUAACAAUAAAUAAUAUUAGUUAGGUUUUGUAGUUAUUCUUUCCAUCCCUUUAAAAUUUGAACUUUUUUUUUCAGGAAAAUCAGAGAGUACGGUUAGGCGCAUAGUUAAUGAAGGUUUUCAGAAUAAUGGAAAAUUUAGAAUUCCUGGGAAACACAGGCAAGGCCAACCAAAGAAAGAAAUGGAUAAUUUUAAUAUUUGUGCUCUGCGCCAAAAAAUAUAAUUUUUUUACACGGUACAAAAAGAGGUCACAAAAUGUUCGCAAUCUCUAAACAUCAAACAAAAGACAUUUUCAAAGGAAAGCGUUACAUCAUAGUCCAUGCUGGAAGCGAAAAGGGGUUUGUUUCAAACUGCCUCCUCAUAUUCACUGACAGAAAUAAUUUGGAAGACUACCAUUCAGAAAUGAAUGCGCAUAACUUUACGAAGUGGAUUAAAGAAAAACUAAUACCAAAUCUUCAUGAGCCUUCCAUUAUAGUUAUGGACCUGUACCAAGACAAUUGGUUAUUUGCUUAGGCGAUAAUAGCAACAGUGAAGAUGAUGUGAGUGAUGUCAGCGUUACUUAUGAAGGUGGCAACGAAACUUUUCUUAACAUCGAAUAUUUGGAAUCCGAUGAUGAAAGUGAUUAAUAAAUGUCCUUAUUAAAUAUGUA
This is a long non-coding RNA of Ostrinia nubilalis (European corn borer), 1088 nucleotides long. RefSeq lists it as uncharacterized. Lineage: Eukaryota; Metazoa; Arthropoda; Insecta; Lepidoptera; Crambidae. The transcript has 2 exons. The record is from RefSeq and is a predicted model, not a curated record.